RNAcentral lists this ribosomal RNA (256 nucleotides) under uncultured bacterium. RNAcentral describes it as "partial 16S ribosomal RNA". It matches the Rfam family "Bacterial small subunit ribosomal RNA", at positions 524 to 776 of the family's 1533-position model. The record is from RNAcentral.
UACGUAGGCAGCAAGCGUUGUUCGGAGUUACUGGGCGUAAAGGGUGUGUAGGCGGUUCUUUUAAGUUUGGUGUGAAAUCUCCCGGCUCAACUGGGAGGGUGCGCCGAAUACUGAGGGACUAGAGUACGGGAGAGGAAAGUGGAAUUCCUGGUGUAGCGGUGAAAUGCGUAGAUAUCAGGAGGAACACCGGUGGUGUAGACGGCUUUCUGGACCGUAACUGACGCUGAAACACGAAAAGCGUGGGUAGCAAAACAGG